AGGAGUUCCAGAAGGAGGGGACAAAGGCAAUGGGAAAAGGUAAUAUUUGAAGAGAUAAUGACUGAGAAUUUUCCAGCCUUUCAUGGUAUCUUUCAUGAUGCCAAUUCACAGAUUACAGAUCCCCAACGAGUCUCAAGCCAGGUAAAUAAAACAAACAAACAAACAAGAAAAUCCUUACUUAGAACCAACCCACUGUAGUGAAACAGCAGAAAAACAAUGACAAAAAAAGUCUUAGUACAGAAAAAAAAGACAGAUUAUCUUCAAAGGGUUGAUAAUGGGGCCAAGCAAAGGCCUAGAUAGCUUCACUGGCAGCUCUACUAAACAUUUAUGAAAGAAAUCAGGUCUCUCACCAAUUCUUCCAGAGGAUCUUGAGCCUAGGUGUCCACCUUAGCCCUCACUCAUGAUGAAAACUCUAUUCAUGUUUGUAUGGGAGAUUUUGGCAGUACAGUAAGGUGAGAAGGAAACAUAAAAGUAUAAUGACCGGAAAGAAGAAAGAAAACCAUAAUUUACAUCAUAUGACUGUGUCUUUUUCUUUAUCUGUGUGUUAGAUUUUACACUAAAAAUGUUUUAACAGCCUUAUGUUUUCAUAACCUUUUAUGGUUUUUCAAGGCACUCUUACAAUAAUGAUUUUAUUUGAUUGUCACAAUUCUUUGAGUAAAACUAAAGUUCAAAUAAGUGGAAUCACAAAGCUGGCCAGUGGGAGAAUCUGCACCAGAACCCAGUUUGCUGAAUAUACCUGGAACAUCUGGUCUUUCAUUCAUUAAAUUCAGCAUUCCAGCAGAAAAUGGUAUUGGAAUGUGCAAAGAUUCACACAACAAGCCAGGACAGCUGCAUCUGAGACCAGUUCUAUUUUGAAAUCAAAAACCCAUGCAAAUAAACAACAGCAACACGAAGAAGAAGUGAAUUAAUGACAGCUUACUGGAGAUGACUCAAAAAGAGAAAAAUUUCAAUUGCAGUUUCCAGCCUUCUCUCAAGGAUUAAAAGAGGCAGGUUGCUAAUCAUCCUGAAUGAGAUGGUAGAUUUAUGUAAAACAAAUUCAUACUAUAUAACAAAAAAGAAAAAAAUUUCAGAACAUUUUAUACUCAGUGAUUUUUGUGUGUUUCUUUUUUUUUGAGAAGGAGUGUCGCUCUUGUUACCCAGACUGGAGUGCAAUGGCACGAUCUCGGCUCACUGCAACCUCCACCUCCUGGGUUCAAGCAGUUCUCCUGCCUCAGCCUCCCGAGUGGCUGGGACUACAGGCAUGUGCCACCAUGCCCAGCUAAUUUUUUGUAUUUUUAGUAGAGACGGGGUUUCACCAUGUUGACCAGGAUGGUCUUGAUCUCUUGACCUCGUGAUCCAACUGCCUCGGCCUCC
Molecule: long non-coding RNA, 1353 nt
Filed under: Callithrix jacchus (white-tufted-ear marmoset)
Lineage: Eukaryota; Metazoa; Chordata; Mammalia; Primates; Cebidae
Description: lncRNA (ENSCJAG00000080024.1)
Source: RNAcentral